GAUGAACGCUGGCGGCGUGCCUAAUACAUGCAAGUCGAGCGAACGGACGAUAAGCUUGCUUCUCUGAUGUUAGCGGCGGACGGGUGAGUAACACGUGUAUAACCUACCUAUAAGACUGGGAUAACCUCGGGAAACCGUAUCUAAUACCGUAUAAUAUUUUGAACCGCAUUGUUCAAAAGUGAAAGACGGUCGUUCUGUCACUUAUAGAUGCAUCCGCGCUGCAUUAGCUAGUUGUUAAGGUAACGGCUUACCAAGGCAACGAUGCAUAGCCGACCUGAGAGGCUGUUCGGCCACACUAGAACUGAGACACCGUCCAGACUCCUGCGGGAGGCAGCAGUAGGGAAUCUUCCGCAAUGGGCGAAAGCCUGACGGAGCAACGGCGCGUGAGUGAUGGAGGUCUUCGGAUCGUAAUACUCUGUUAUUAGGGAAGAACAUAUGUGUAAGUAACUGUGGACAUCUUGACGGUACCUAAUCAGAAAGCCACGGCUAACUACGUG
This 497-nucleotide ribosomal RNA is filed under the name uncultured bacterium. RNAcentral's name for it is "partial 16S ribosomal RNA". It matches the Rfam family "Bacterial small subunit ribosomal RNA", at positions 28 to 507 of the family's 1533-position model. The record is from RNAcentral.